This 253-nucleotide ribosomal RNA is filed under the name uncultured bacterium. RNAcentral describes it as "partial 16S ribosomal RNA". It matches the Rfam family "Bacterial small subunit ribosomal RNA", at positions 524 to 776 of the family's 1533-position model. The record is from RNAcentral.
GACAGAGGGUGCAAACGUUGUUCGGAAUUACUGGGCGUAAAGCGAGUGUAGGCGGUUUCCUAAGUCAGGUGUGAAAGCCCCGGGCUCAACCCGGGAAGUGCACUUGAUACUGGGAGGCUAGAGUAUCGGAGAGGUUGGUGGAAUUCUCGGUGUAGAGGUGAAAUUCGUAGAUAUCGAGAGGAACACCGGUGGCGAAGGCGGCCAACUGGACGAAUACUGACGCUGAGACUCGAAAGCGUGGGGAGCAAACAGG